AUGCCUUGCGCGCCGCGGGCCCAGAGACCUGAGGCUGUCGGCGUUCUGGUGGCCCCGCCUCGUGUGCCCGCCGGACCCCACGCCGCGGGAGCUUGGGGGCUGCGGUCUUCUCUUCCUCCGACCUCACCUUCGAUGCGGAAGCGCAGGGGCAGGUGCGCCGGCCUCGGCCCGCGCAGGCGGUGGGCCCGUCUGGGGCAAGGCGCCCGGAAGCGCCUGCUUGGUUCAGAAACAUCGGACCGCAGCGGGAGGGCGGGCACCGGCGCGUGGUCUCAGUGGCCCCGGGCGAACCCUGAUGAGCAGCAGCCGCAAGAGGCUUACUAAAGGAGCCAGUUUCUGCGUUUGUCUGGAAUUUACGUGAAUUAAGCUGGCGGGCGGGCUACCCAGCCUGUAGUCUCAGCACUUUGGGAGGCUGUGGCGGGCGGAUCACCUGAGCUUGGGAAUUGGAGACCAGCCUGCGCAACGUAGCAAGACCCUAUCUCUAAAAUAGAUUCAUUAAUACUUAGCCGGGCGCGGUGGCUGAGGUCCCAGCUACUCGGCAGGCCGAGGCUGGCCAGAGCCAGGCCGCUCUGAACUUUUUAUUUUUUCAGCCUUAAUACCUGCCAGAAUUCUUUUUUUACUAUGUAUCUUUGUCCUUACAUAUAUACAUUUUAUGUACAAUUGAGAUUAUCCUGUAUUUGCCUUUUCCCCCUCACUUCUAUAUGGUGACUUUUCUCAUGUGUCUGAAUACUAACAUUUUGGAAACUGUCCGCCUGAAAACGAGCGGAGGCACAGUUUCUCUAAGUAGAGAGUUUAUUUGGGCCACACUUGAGCACAAAUUCAAGGCGCCCUGAAUGUGUACUCCGAUUAGCAGUUAACAGUGGAUUUUAAAGGCAAAAAAGGGGGCCAGGGAGUGGACUAAUAGGAACUUGUUUGUGAGGAAUUCUCACUCGUUUACAGAAAUAACAUUGAUUAAUGACUGACUAUAUGUUGUUCAGCUAUUGAGUGUGGGUGUAGUGUCCAGUGUGGCGUCAUUAGGUUAAUUUAUAGCUGUUUGUGGCGCUGUUGCCAACAGUAGCAGUUUAAAGAGGUGAACACAGGUCAAGGGGUAGUAGGGCGCAGUUGUCGCCUCAUUUGAAUGUCUCUCUCUGCCUGAUAAUUAAAAGGACUCGCGGUCCUCAGAUAAAAAUUCUCUUUUCUGAAAGCCAUUUAAAUGUGGUAAUUAGAGUGGCCCAGAAGGGGCACAGUGCCUUUUAGCCCUCGCCAUUACUUGCUGUUAGGAGUGCAUUUUUUGUAGCUGCGGGUUUUUGACUAUCUCUGCUGCUUUCUCCAGCCCCUGCCCCCUGACUACAAGGGAAAACGUGCGGCGCUCACGAGAGAGCGUUUAUGGGAUUUUUAAAAAAAUGGGGAUUGUGGGAAAAUGGCACCAGCAGUCACAGUUUUUCUGUUUCUCACAAUCCCAUAAAAACAGAGCAACCAGAUAACAAAACUAAAAAAUGGGCAACAUUUACAGACCACUGGAUGGUGAAGAAUUCCCAUGAACCCCUGGUUCACACUGUAAGGACGGACUACUCAGAUGUAGCCUGAAGCCGCCUCCUUACAUACUGUAAGUUUAGCCUAUAGGUUUCUCCAUACGUAGUGAACAGUUAUCUCAUUGGAUGUGUGGAGACUGUAACCUACUCUUGAACCAGUCACAGGCGGCAGCACUUUAAACUCUGUUCCAAUAAGCCAGACGCGAGCUGUAGCCACCCUGCUGUUUGCAGGCCUCACCUCUGCCUUCUGUGCCUCACUCCCUUUUCUGUCCGUAAGUCUUCGGCCACACAGCGGCACUGGCGUCUCUCUGAGCCUGUUCUGGUUUGAGGGGCUCCCUGAUUCCUGAAUCGUUCUUUGCUCAAUUAAACUCUGUUAAAUUU
This 1889-nucleotide long non-coding RNA is filed under the name Pongo abelii (Sumatran orangutan). RNAcentral's name for it is "lincRNA". The record is from RNAcentral. Lineage: Eukaryota; Metazoa; Chordata; Mammalia; Primates; Hominidae.